GACGAACGCUGGCGGCGUGCCUAAUACAUGCAAGUUGAGCGCUGAAGGUUGGUACUUGUACCAACUGGAUGAGCAGCGAACGGGUGAGUAACGCGUGGGGAAUCUGCCUUUGAGCGGGGGACAACAUUUGGAAACGAGUGCUAAUACCGCAUAAAAACUUUAAACGCAAGUUUUAAGUUUGAAAGAUGCAAUUGCAUCACUCAAAGAUGAUCCCGCGUUGUAUUAGCUAGUUGGUGAGGUAAAGGCUCACCAAGGCGAUGAUACAUAGCCGACCUGAGAGGGUGAUCGGCCACAUUGGGACUGAGACACGGCCCAAACUCCUACGGGAGGCAGCAGUAGGGAAUCUUCGGCAAUGGACGAAAGUCUGACCGAGCAACGCCGCGUGAGUGAAGAAGGUUUUCGGAUCGUAAAACUCUGUUGGUAGAGAAGAACGUUGGUGAGAGUGGAAAGCUCAUCAAGUGACGGUAACUACCCAGAAAGGGACGGCUAACUACGUG
This 497-nucleotide ribosomal RNA is filed under the name uncultured bacterium. Its description in RNAcentral is "partial 16S ribosomal RNA". It matches the Rfam family "Bacterial small subunit ribosomal RNA", at positions 28 to 507 of the family's 1533-position model. The record is from RNAcentral.